UGUAAACGGUGGGGUACUAGGUGUGGGGUCCAUUCCACGGGUUCCGUGCUGUAGCUAACGCUUUAAGUACCCCGCCUGGGGAGUACGGCCGCAAGGCUAAAACUCAAAGGAAUUGACGGGGCCCCGCACAAGCGGCGGAGCAUGCGGAUUAAUUCGAUGCAACGCGUAGAACCUUACCUGGGUUUGACAUGGAUCGGGAGUGCUCAGAGAUGGGUGUGCCUCUUUUGGGGUCGGUUCACAGGUGGUGCAUGGCUGUCGUCAGCUCGUGUCGUGAGAUGUUGGGUUAAGUCCCGCAACGAGCGCAACCCUUGUUCACUGUUGCCAGCACGUUAUGGUGGGGACUCAGUGGAGACCGCCGGGGUCAACUCGGAGGAAGGUGGGGAUGACGUCAAGUCAUCAUGCCCCUUAUGUCCAGGGCUUCACGCAUUCUUCAAUGGCUGGUACAGAGAGUGGCGAGCCUGUGAGGGUGAGCGAAUCUCGGAAAGCCGGUCUCAGUUCGGAUUGGGGUCUGCAACUCGACCUCAUGAAGUCGGAGUCGCUAGUAAUCGCAGAUCAGCAACGCUGCGGUGUAUACGUUCCCGGGGGUUGUACACACCGCCCGUCAAGUCAUGAAAGUUGGUAACACCCGAAGCCGGUGGCCUAACCGUUGUGGGGGAGCCGUCGAAGG
RNAcentral lists this ribosomal RNA (667 nucleotides) under uncultured organism. Its description in RNAcentral is "SSU rRNA". It matches the Rfam family "Bacterial small subunit ribosomal RNA", at positions 801 to 1462 of the family's 1533-position model. The record is from RNAcentral.